GUGCUUGUAGUUCAGUUGGUUAGAAUGCCAGAUUGUGACUCUGGAGGUCGUGAGUUCAAGUCUCAUCAAGCACCCCA
This 77-nucleotide transfer RNA is filed under the name Candidatus Peribacteria bacterium. RNAcentral's name for it is "tRNA-His". It matches the Rfam family "tRNA". Rfam says of the family: Transfer RNA (tRNA) molecules are approximately 80 nucleotides in length. Their secondary structure includes four short double-helical elements and three loops (D, anti-codon, and T loops). The record is from RNAcentral. Lineage: Bacteria; Candidatus Peregrinibacteriota; Candidatus Peribacteria.